UGAGAGCCUCUUGUUGAACC
RNAcentral lists this non-coding RNA (20 nucleotides) under Mus musculus (house mouse). The record is from RNAcentral. Lineage: Eukaryota; Metazoa; Chordata; Mammalia; Rodentia; Muridae.